RNAcentral lists this ribosomal RNA (497 nucleotides) under uncultured bacterium. Its description in RNAcentral is "partial 16S ribosomal RNA". It matches the Rfam family "Bacterial small subunit ribosomal RNA", at positions 28 to 507 of the family's 1533-position model. The record is from RNAcentral.
GACGAACGCUGGCGGCGUGCCUAAUACAUGCGAGUUGAGCGCUGAAGCUUGGUCCUUGUUCCCACUGGAUGAGCAGCGAACGGGUGAGUAACGCGUGGGGAAUCUGCCUUUGAGCGGGGGACAACAUUUGGAAACGAAUGCUAAUACCGCAUAAAAACUUUAAACACAAGUUUUAAGUUUGAAAGAUGCAAUUGCCUCACUCAAAGAUGAUCCCGCGUUGUAUUAGCUAGUUGGUGAGGUAAAGGCUCACCAAGGCGAUGAUACAUAGCCGACCUGAGAAGGUGAUCGACCACAAUGGGACUGAGACACGGCCCAAACCACUACGGGAAGCAGCAGGAGGGAAUCUUUGGCAAAGGACGAAAGGCUGACCGAGGAACGCCGCGUGAGGGAAGAAAGAUUUCGGAUCGGAAAAAUCAGUUGGUAGAGAAGGACGUUGGUGAGAGUGAAAAGCGCAGCAAGUGACGGUAACUACCCAGAAAGGGACGGCUAACUACGUG